CCUAAUACAUGCAAGUCGAGCGGACAGAUGGGAGCUUGCUCCCUGAUGUUAGCGGCGGACGGGUGAGUAACACGUGGGUAACCUGCCUGUAAGACUGGGAUAACUCCGGGAAACCGGGGCUAAUACCGGAUGGUUGUUUGAACCGCAUGGUUCAAACAUAAAAGGUGGCUUCGGCUACCACUUACAGAUGGACCCGCGGCGCAUUAGCUAGUUGGUGAGGUAACGGCUCACCAAGGCAACGAUGCGUAGCCGACCUGAGAGGGUGAUCGGCCACACUGGGACUGAGACACGGCCCAGACUCCUACGGGAGGCAGCAGUAGGGAAUCUUCCGCAAUGGACGAAAGUCUGACGGAGCAACGCCGCGUGAGUGAUGAAGGUUUUCGGAUCGUAAAGCUCUGUUGUUAGGGAAGAACAAGUACCGUUCGAAUAGGGCGGUACCUUGACGGUACCUAACCAGAAAGCCACGGCUAACUACGUGCCAGCAGCCGCGGUAAUACGUAGGUGGCAAGCGUUGUCCGGAAUUAUUGGGCGUAAAGGGCUCGCAGGCGGUUUCUUAAGUCUGAUGUGAAAGCCCCCGGCUCAACCGGGGAGGGUCAUUGGAAACUGGGGAACUUGAGUGCAGAAGAGGAGAGUGGAAUUCCACGUGUAGCGGUGAAAUGCGUAGAGAUGUGGAGGAACACCAGUGGCGAAAGGCGACUCUCUGGUCUGUAACUGACGCUGAGGAGCGAAAGCGUGGGGAGCGAACAGGAUUAGAUACCCUGGUAGUCCACGCGUAAACGAUGAGUGCUAGUGUUAGGGGGUUU
This 803-nucleotide ribosomal RNA is filed under the name Bacillus subtilis. Its description in RNAcentral is "bacterial SSU rRNA". It matches the Rfam family "Bacterial small subunit ribosomal RNA", at positions 47 to 832 of the family's 1533-position model. The record is from RNAcentral. Lineage: Bacteria; Bacillati; Bacillota; Bacilli; Caryophanales; Bacillaceae.